RNAcentral lists this non-coding RNA (514 nucleotides) under Neurospora tetrasperma FGSC 2509. RNAcentral's name for it is "Eukaryotic small subunit ribosomal RNA". It matches the Rfam family "Eukaryotic small subunit ribosomal RNA", at positions 269 to 784 of the family's 1831-position model. The record is from Rfam by way of RNAcentral. Lineage: Eukaryota; Fungi; Ascomycota; Sordariomycetes; Sordariales; Sordariaceae.
UCGCAUGGCCUUGCGCUGGCGAUGGUUCAUUCAAAUUUCUGCCCUAUCAACUUUCGACGGCUGGGUCUUGGCCAGCCAUGGUGACAACGGGUAACGGAGGGUUAGGGCUCGACCCCCGGAGAAGGAGCCUGAGAAACGGCUACUACAUCCAAGGAAGGCAGCAGGCGCGCAAAUUACCCAAUCCCGACACGGGGAGGUAGUGACAAUAAAUACUGAUACAGGGCUCUUUUGGGUCUUGUAAUUGGAAUGAGUACAAUUUAAAUCCCUUAACGAGGAACAAUUGGAGGGCAAGUCUGGUGCCAGCAGCCGCGGUAAUUCCAGCUCCAAUAGCGUAUAUUAAAGUUGUUGAGGUUAAAAAGCUCGUAGUUGAACCUUGGGCUCGGCCCGUCGGUCCGCCUCACCGCGUGCACUGACUGGGUCGGGCCUUUUUUUCCUGGAGAACCGCAUGCCCUUCACUGGGUGUGUCGGGGAACCAGGACUUUUACCGUGAACAAAUCAGAUCGCUCAAAGAAGG